RNAcentral lists this ribosomal RNA (465 nucleotides) under Vreelandella stevensii. RNAcentral's name for it is "partial 16S ribosomal RNA". It matches the Rfam family "Bacterial small subunit ribosomal RNA", at positions 338 to 795 of the family's 1533-position model. Lineage: Bacteria; Pseudomonadati; Pseudomonadota; Gammaproteobacteria; Oceanospirillales; Halomonadaceae. The record is from RNAcentral.
CCUACGGGCGGCAGCAGUGGGGAAUAUUGGACAAUGGGGGCAACCCUGAUCCAGCCAUGCCGCGUGUGUGAAGAAGGCCCUUGGGUUGUAAAGCACUUUCAGUGAGGAAGAACGCCUGGUGGUUAAUACCCAUCAGGAAAGACAUCACUCACAGAAGAAGCACCGGCUAACUCCGUGCCAGCAGCCGCGGUAAUACGGAGGGUGCGAGCGUUAAUCGGAAUUACUGGGCGUAAAGCGCGCGUAGGUGGCUUGAUAAGCCGGUUGUGAAAGCCCCGGGCUCAACCUGGGAACGGCAUCCGGAACUGUCAAGCUAGAGUGCAGGAGAGGAAGGUAGAAUUCCCGGUGUAGCGGUGAAAUGCGUAGAGAUCGGGAGGAAUACCAGUGGCGAAGGCGGCCUUCUGGACUGACACUGACACUGAGGUGCGAAAGCGUGGGUAGCAAACAGGAUUAGAUACCCGAGUAGUC